Molecule: ribosomal RNA, 561 nt
Filed under: Burkholderia sp. LC8
Lineage: Bacteria; Pseudomonadati; Pseudomonadota; Betaproteobacteria; Burkholderiales; Burkholderiaceae
Description: bacterial SSU rRNA
Rfam family: Bacterial small subunit ribosomal RNA
Source: RNAcentral
GUGGCGAACGGGUGAGUAAUACACCGGAACGUGUCCUGUAGUGGGGGAUAGCCCGGCGAAAGCCGGAUUAAUACCGCAUACGCUCUACGGAGGAAAGGGGGGGAUCUUAGGACCUCCCGCUACAGGGGCGGCCGAUGGCAGAUUAGCUAGUUGGUGGGGUAAAGGCCUACCAAGGCGACGAUCUGUAGCUGGUCUGAGAGGACGACCAGCCACACUGGGACUGAGACACGGCCCAGACUCCUACGGGAGGCAGCAGUGGGGAAUUUUGGACAAUGGGGGCAACCCUGAUCCAGCAAUGCCGCGUGUGUGAAGAAGGCCUUCGGGUUGUAAAGCACUUUUGUCCGGAAAGAAAACGCCGUGGUUAAUACCCGUGGCGGCUGACGGUACCGGAAGAAUAAGCACCGGCUAACUACGUGCCAGCAGCCGCGGUAAUACGUAGGGUGCAAGCGUUAAUCGGAAUUACUGGGCGUAAAGCGUGCGCAGGCGGUCCGCUAAGACAGAUGUGAAAUCCCCGGGCUUAACCUGGGAACUGCAUUUGUGACUGGCGGGCUAGAGUAUGGC